AAGCGAACCCGUGAAGGUUCCAGGAGGAUGGCGCACCCGGAAAGGGCGUGGAAGCUCCGCGCCCCUUCCCACAGACUUUCCCCCAUCCAUCUCUUCAUCUGGUGUUCAUCGAUAGCCUUUGUAAUGUCCUUAAUAGUAAACCGGAAAACGUUCUUUCUACGUUGCCCAAGCUGGAGUGCAGUGGCCAUUCAACAGGUGGGAUCAUAGCACACCGCAGCCUCAAAUUCCUGGGCUCCAGCGAUCCUCCCAUCUCAGCCUCCCAAGUAGCUGGGGCUAUAGGCAUGUGCCACCACACCCAGCUAUUCCUUCUUAUAGCCAAAUAAUAUUCCAUUGUAUGGAUCAUUUUUUUUCUUUUCUUUUCUUUUUUUUCUGAGAUGGAGUCUCACUCUGUUGCCCAGACGAGUGCAGUGGCACAAUCUUGGCUCACUGCAACCUUCACCUCCUGGUUCAAGCAAUUCUCCUGCCUCAGCCUCCCAAUCUCUCUCUGCUGCUGUUCUCCCUCCUCCAGAUAUUUUCAUUUCUUCUGCAAAGUGGAGGACUAAAACUGCAGUUUUAGAGUGGAGGAAGAAGAGAAUCACCACAUAUCGUAUUUAGAGGUCCUGCAGAAAGGGCAGAGCGAGUUUCAUGUUUGAGUGCAGCGGAUGCAUGGGCAAAGCAUUACACAGCCGCUCCAUGGAAGUGACAAUGAGCCUUGUCUUUCACACGUAACUCCAGGAACCAGGGGAAACAAAACCAAUUCCACCCAGAGGUACAGACAAAGAAGAGCACCCUCCCAAAGGAGCCCGCAUGAUAAGUGGCCACGGCGAACAUCACUGUGAUCAGUCAGAAAGGCAGGCGAGUUAUUAGCUUAGCCCUGAACCUCCUACUUAAUGUAGAACCAGUGGUGAUGGUUAACAGACCCUGGCUGCAGUGACAAGCCUGGGACCUGCUCGAGGAAAUCCAAUUGAAAAGCAGCCAAGAGGAACAACAAGCUAGAAACAGAUGUUCCAGCUACCAGGAUGUGCACGCAUUUAACCUGAACAUGUAGUUGGGGUGGGAUGGUAGCAUUCGUUUCUAAAUAUAGUGAUUUCACUUCUUCCCCCAUAUAGAUAUUGUCAAGUUUAAUUAUAGCCAUCCACAUUAGUUUUGUCAAAUUUUCAGCAAUUUCUUUAAAAUAAGAAGAUGUCAGAAUGAUAACUGCUAUUAAGGGAAUUCAGGGUGUUUGGUUUAUCUACCCAGUCUUACUAAAACAUUUCAGUUAAAUCAUCCACUCUUAAACUCCAGUCUCAUAGCAAUUAAAAAUUAUCUUUUAAAAAAUUGCCCAAA
Molecule: long non-coding RNA, 1305 nt
Filed under: Homo sapiens (human)
Lineage: Eukaryota; Metazoa; Chordata; Mammalia; Primates; Hominidae
Description: novel transcript, antisense to ZNF281
Source: RNAcentral